Molecule: ribosomal RNA, 207 nt
Filed under: uncultured bacterium
Lineage: Bacteria
Description: partial 16S ribosomal RNA
Rfam family: Bacterial small subunit ribosomal RNA
Source: RNAcentral
UGCGCAGGCGGUUCGGAAAGAAGGAUGUGAAAUCCCAGGGCUUAACCUUGGAACUGCAUUCUUAACUACCGGGCUAGAGUAUGUCAGAGGGGGGUGGAAUUCCGCGUGUAGCAGUGAAAUGCGUAGAUAUGCGGAGGAACACCGAUGGCGAAGGCAGCCCCCUGGGAUAAUACUGACGCUCAUGCACGAAAGCGUGGGGAGCAAACA